AUCCAGCUGACCAGCAGUCCCAAAUAGAAAGAAACGCGCGUCCUGGAU
RNAcentral lists this non-coding RNA (48 nucleotides) under Schistosoma haematobium. Lineage: Eukaryota; Metazoa; Platyhelminthes; Trematoda; Strigeidida; Schistosomatidae. The record is from RNAcentral.